UAAAAUAGCUCCAGUUUUUUCCUUCGGAUGCGUUCCAUCUGCAGAUAGUACAAGAUUAAGCAGGCACUGCUAUGUUUUAAUUGGUUACAGGUAAUUUAUUUAUUUUGCUAUAGACUAUAACAGCCCAAAGCAACAACACAGCGACAUCUAAAUACAAUUAGUAAGGCACUAGGCAAGCACUCAGUUGGCUCUGUGCUACAUGGAGAGCUAUGUGACCAGAGGGAGUUGCUAACACCACAAACGCAGAGAGCAUUCUGCCCACUGUAAACCCUAAACAUUUUCCUCUCUACUCUUCUUAUGCUUUGCACCAUUUUCUGCUCUGCCAAGAGGGUGGGAAAAAAGGAGAGGAGAACUGGCAGAUUUUAUCUGCUGGUGUUAUCAGGGUUUUAGGUAAGAGUUCAGUUAGAAGUAAUCACGCUGGAUGUUUAAAUCCUGUUUUGCAAUUUAACAGUCAGGAUGAUUUAAAACAGCAGAGAUCAUCCCCAUUCAAUGAGCACUUGGGGUAUUUCUAAGCUUUAGCACAACUGAGCUAAACAUCCCCUGCUGUGCGAAUCUUCUUUCCAGCUCCAAUGUUUCUGCUGAGAUGCUUCUAAAUGGGACUGUAAACUUACCCGAGCACAAUUAUUCUGCAUUUAAUGCCAUUCCUUAAAGAUGUGGUUAUGAAAGAGCCUGACUUGCUUCUUGUUUCCUCUUUUAUGCCCAAACACUGCUUGGUCUACAGCAGCUCACCCUGAGACCCCUCCAUGCACUCUCCUUGGUACGGUGCAGGCAGCCCCAGGAGCUGCAGAGCAGCUGGGAGAGGAAACGGCGGUCCGGCAGUGCUCCCUGAGCACCGCGUUGUAAGUGGAGAUGUGAAAUGCAACUGUAAAUAUUGUGAGGCCUCAGCCAUUCCAGUUUGGUACACAGGGUGUGAGUCACCGGUUGCUGCACAGUGCCUGUGUUUGCGGCGUGUGUCAGCGCAAUGGGAGAAGGCAGAUGAUACCGCUAUUAUGUGAAACCGCUGCCACCCACUGCAGUGACUCACACGGCGUCACCCAACAGCAUUUACAUCAGCUUCAAAAUACAUCUCCGUUACCCGUGCCCGUCUCAGCAGGUUAUUUGUUUCCUCCUCCCAGUCCUUCUCAGGUUGAUGACAACAGGGCUGUGUGCUUUUACUGGGGGUGGCACAGGGCUGCACUAUCUUAAAGCACUGAUGGAACGCAACUGAGCCCUCAUCUCUGUUUGCCUCUAAGUGCCAGUCUGUAAACAGCGAAGAUUCAGGGGCCGGUAUCCUAUGAGAAGGACCAGACAGUCUCACUGGUCACUGCUGACGUUUGCUACUGCUCUGUGCACCUGUGGGCCAGCAAAGUGAAGGGGGAAGUGGGUCAGAUCUGGGAGGGAGCACUUGGCUGGAGCAGCCAGCUGCUGCCUAGUGGCAGCGUGACGUCUUACAACCGGUUUGGGCCUGGUAAUAAUAUUAAAUAAUUAAUUGCGUUCUUAUUUCUUUGAGGAAGUUAACUCAAUUAUUAGUUUCCUGGUUCUCUGUCAUACUUUGUGUGCAAAGGGACGUUUAAAUGCAUUUGAGUAUUUGGGUUUGAAUUAACUGAAAUCAGAAUUGGAACAUGGCUGGAAAUUUGGCAUUCUGGCUCUGUGCCUUAUUUCUCAAAUCCAGAGAAACGGAGUAUUCCAAUGUUGGAUUGCUGCCUGAGUAAAUAUAUCCAUAUUGGAUACAGCAUAUAAAAGUAAAAAGACAAAAACACCUGUCAAAAAUUCUCAGAACACAGGGAAACUCCUGACACAGCUCUUCUAUCCUUGUGCAGUGACAAGAGCUGGUUCCCCAUAUGGAGCAGUGGGAGAGCAGUGCUGUCAGAGGGGGCUGCUGUCACCCCCAGGCAGCAGCAGCUCCUCAGCUGCCCCAUCCUGAGAGAGUUGCUGGACCAUCUGUCCGUCUGUCCGGCUCCGGAGACACCAGAGCUCCAGGACUGUGUUUAAUAUUUGCUUUCACCAUUCCCCCGUUACUAAUAACUGAUAUGGACAGACCUCAGGUACAGCUCUGUCUGAAGGCACAAAGAAGAGUCCUUUGAGAGAGGCUCCUCUCACCCACGCUCUGACCCAGACAGCACUCUCUGAAGUGUGGCAUCUUACAGGCGUCUCACACUCCCCAAAUUCUCCACAUUCUUUAUUAGACAUUCUCCAUGCAUCACUCUCCCUCACAAGUACCUAAUUCCAUGUCAGUUUUUAACAGCCAGAAAGCUUUCUAUUUAUUUUCUUAAGCCACUUUUUGACCUUCAG
RNAcentral lists this long non-coding RNA (2271 nucleotides) under Gallus gallus (chicken). RNAcentral describes it as "lncRNA (ENSGALG00010013687.1)". The record is from RNAcentral. Lineage: Eukaryota; Metazoa; Chordata; Aves; Galliformes; Phasianidae.